RNAcentral lists this ribosomal RNA (570 nucleotides) under uncultured marine bacterium. RNAcentral's name for it is "bacterial SSU rRNA". It matches the Rfam family "Bacterial small subunit ribosomal RNA", at positions 918 to 1498 of the family's 1533-position model. The record is from RNAcentral.
GGCCCGCACAAGCGGUGGAGCAUGUGGUUUAAUUCGAUGAUACGCGAGGAACCUUACCUGGGCUCAAAUGUAAGUUGACAGUUUCUGAAAGGGAAUUUUCUUCGGACAAUUUACAAGGUGCUGCAUGGUUGUCGUCAGCUCGUGCCGUGAGGUGUCGGGUUAAGUCCCAUAACGAGCGCAACCCCUACUCUUAGUUGCCAUCAGAUAAUGCUGGGGACUCUAGGAGAACUGCCUACGCAAGUAGAGAGGAAGGUGGGGAUGACGUCAAAUCAGCACGGCCCUUACGUCCAGGGCUACACACGUGCUACAAUGGCCGGUACAGAGGGCAGCCACCUGGUGACAGGGAGCGAAUCUCUAAAGCCGGUCUCAGUUCGGAUCGAAGUCUGCAACCCGACUUCGUGAAGCUGGAAUCGCUAGUAAUCGCGCAUCAGCCAUGGCGCGGUGAAUACGUUCCCGGGCCUUGUACACACCGCCCGUCAAGCCAUGGAAGCUGGGGGUACCUGAAGUCGGUGACCAUUUAGGAGCCGCCUAGGGUAAAACUAGUGACUGGGGCUAAGUCGUAACAAGGUA